GUAAAGUAGAAAUCCUAAAGAUAAACAUUCUUUUCUCGAAAAGGAAAGAGUCCCUCCAAGGAUCGACAAAAUAUAAGAACCAAAAACUUCAAAAGUUGAAAAUAUUCGAUGCAUAUCUCGAGAAGAAAACUUCAAAGCCAAACUUAAUAUUAUCUGAAGUAAUUUCAAGAACAAAAAAGAUUUAUGUACAGAGUUAAAUCAGCUGAGAUCAAUCUAGGUGCCAUUUGCCAAUGCAAGAAAUGAAACAUAAAUGUAUGUACAAGACAUCUAUCUAAUAUAAACAAGAACCAACCUCUAGAAUCUCAUGAGUCCUCUUCAUAUUAUGUGAAGGAGGACCUUCAAAUCUCA
RNAcentral lists this long non-coding RNA (348 nucleotides) under Nicotiana benthamiana. RNAcentral describes it as "long non-coding RNA (NBEN_LNC002351)". The record is from RNAcentral. Lineage: Eukaryota; Viridiplantae; Streptophyta; Magnoliopsida; Solanales; Solanaceae.